This 468-nucleotide ribosomal RNA is filed under the name uncultured bacterium. Its description in RNAcentral is "SSU rRNA". It matches the Rfam family "Bacterial small subunit ribosomal RNA", at positions 26 to 518 of the family's 1533-position model. The record is from RNAcentral.
AGAAUGAACGUUGGCGGCGUGGAUUAGGCAUGCAAGUCGAACGGGCCGCAAGGCCAGUGGCGGAAGGGUGAGUAAUGCGACGGUAACCAACCCCGCAGUUGGGCAUAGCCGGGGGAAACUCCGGGUAAUUCCCAGCGACGCGUCUCUCCGGCAUCGGAGGGACGCCAAAGGUUUACUGCUGUGGGACGGGCCGUUGUGGUAUUAGCUUGUUGGCGGGGUGACGGCCCACCAAGGCUACGAUGCCUACCGGGCGUGCGAGCGUGGCCCGGCACACUGGGACUGAGACACUGCCCAGACUCCUACGGGAGGCUGCAGUCGAGAAUCUUCGGCAAUGGGCGCAAGCCUGACCGAGCGACGCCGCGUGGAGGACGAAGGCCUUCGGGUUGUAAACUCCUGUCGAGGGGGAGGAAGGGGCAACCUUGACCGAUCCCUGGAGGAAGCACGGGCUAAGUUCGUGCCAGCAGCCGC